This is a non-coding RNA of Callorhinus ursinus (northern fur seal), 982 nucleotides long. NCBI's taxonomy places the organism in Eukaryota, Metazoa, Chordata, Mammalia, Carnivora, Otariidae. The record is from RefSeq and is a predicted model, not a curated record.
UAACACUUGUAAACUCUGUUUCAGGAGUGUCACGUGUGCCCUCUGCGAUUACACUUCGUGUGUGCGCGCUCUGCCUAGCCUGCCGCUGCCUCAGCCUGGAAGAUUUCAGGUCUGCUUCUGCUUCCCGACCAGAGUGUGCUGUGCCUGAAUUUGUGCUAAAAACAAGGUUCAGACAAACACUUAAGCAUUCCACAGGUGUGGACUGGCCUUCUGCUAAGUGUCGGGGCCUCCGGUCUGAGGACACCACGAUGAACUGGGUGUGUGUCCAACCUUCCAAGAAGGAGCAUAUCCUGCAGAAGCUGCGCCUGGUCCGUACACUUGGGUUCCCCUCCUCCUGUCUCCUCCAUGCACAGCUGCAGCUACCGAGUGAUAACUGGCAUGUGGUCGCAGACUCAAAGCCAGGAAGGGAAUGGCUUUCGCUGAUGUGUUUUCCCAAACGGUCAAGGGUUAUUGGUACCUUUCCAGGUAAAACAACAUGCCAAUUUCCCUCAGUUUACAGGGAAGUUACAUUCAUGGAAAAUCCAGUGUACUGAAGUCUCUGCAAAAAAGGUUUGCAUCCCUGCAACUUUCCCUUCCUAAAUGCCGGGACCUCCCUUUCAUCAUUUCAACAAUCAAAAUUGCCCUCUGAACUUUUCAAAAUGCGCCAGUAUUUUGGUUUAAAUAUUAAGUAUUAUUAUGCAGGUACCCUCCCCCCAAAGCCUCGUAUUCACAACCGAAGGACAGGAAUGUUGUGGUCCUUGCCUGCAUUUGGUCAGAGGAAAUAGUGUGGCAGUGUGGAGUAGCGCACAGUACCCCCCAGGAAGGAUUCCGGGCACCUUCCUCUUCGGUCUGCUUACUGUGAUGAGAAAAUGUUUCUGGGACAGCUAGGGUGUGAGGUAAAGCUUUGUUUCAAGGGUCACCACUGCCAUGGGAUGGCAGUGCCCAGGAUGGUUUUGUGGUAGUCAUGGCUCUUAGCUCCUGGACCUGGGCUUCUCCUCAUUGA